Molecule: long non-coding RNA, 1045 nt
Filed under: Equus asinus (donkey)
Lineage: Eukaryota; Metazoa; Chordata; Mammalia; Perissodactyla; Equidae
Description: lncRNA (ENSEASG00005030358.1)
Source: RNAcentral
CCCAGCCCCAGGGCAGGUUUCUGCCACCACGGUCCAGAGGCCAGGACAGAAGGAGGAGAAGUGGCAGCAACAGAACCCCCACGAGAAGAACAUGCCCCAGCUAACCUACUAUUCCAUGAAGGAUAAGAGCUUCAAGUGGAGCCUUUCCAUUUGAAAACCACCUGGCAUCAACUCUCAGAGAAGAAGGUGGUUCUGAACAUCUCUCCUGCCUGGAAUUGCGUGAUGGUGAGGCCAUGGGCAGCGCAGGCUCCGGUACCAGACAAAACAAUGUAAAAGUCUCGGCUGCUCCUCCUGGCUGCAAGACCCGAAACAAGUCACCUUCCUGAGGCUCACUUCCUGCGCUCUGAGAACUGGGACAGAGGCCUGCCUUGUCCAGUGGAGAUGAAAGUUAAAGAACCUCAUGCAGGUUAAAGGACCUGCCCAAGAUGCUCAAUGAAUGUCGUUGUCCUUGACACCUGGGCUGUCUCUCUUCCCCUGUUAACUUCGGAGAUUGAAGUCACCCAGGAGAAUGAGGUGUAAGAGAUGGCUUCCUGGAGGGAGGGACACCUGAGCGGACUCUUCAAGUGUGAUGGGAGAAAGAGUGAGGAGAGAACAUGGAGGUGGAGCAAACGGCUUGUGCAAGGGCACAGUAGUGACACAAUGUGAGCAACUUGGGGCACCGCCAGCAGCCCCUACAGCCGGAGAGAAGUGAGUGAGGCUGGGGGUGAAUGAAGCUGGCAAAAUUGGAGGGCCAGGUCACGAAGCAGGUCCGGGGAGAGCAGGGGAGCCACAGAGGGUGUGAGGCCGAGUGACCAGAUGGGAUUUGCGCUGAGGGCGGAUCUUCUGAUGGCAGACAGCACCUGCUUGUGCCCAGGACCAAAGUUCAACCAAGGCUCAGGCUCAUCCCACCAUUGCACAGAUGUUCCUCCAUGGCCCCGCUCUAUGCCCUGCCCUGGGGACGCAGGAGGGAACAAGGGAGACCGACUCCCUGCCUUCGUGUGGUUGACGCAGGAAGGACAGAGCGCAUGAAAUAAAGAAAUUCUAAGACGCACUAGGAUGUGACAAG